GACAGAGGAGGAGAGCGUUAUCCGGAGUCAUUGGGCGUAAAGGGUACGUAGGCGGCUAGUCAAGUCUGAGGUUAAAGACCACAGCUUAACUGUGGGAAGGCCUUGGAAACUGACUGGCUAGAGUGGGGCAGGGGUUGCGGGAAUUCCCGGUGUAGCGGUGAAAUGCGUAGAUAUCGGGAAGAACACCUGAGGCGAAAGCGCGCAACUGGGCCCUGACUGACGCUGAGGUACUAAAGCUAGGGGAGGGAAUGGG
RNAcentral lists this ribosomal RNA (253 nucleotides) under uncultured bacterium. Its description in RNAcentral is "partial 16S ribosomal RNA". It matches the Rfam family "Bacterial small subunit ribosomal RNA", at positions 524 to 776 of the family's 1533-position model. The record is from RNAcentral.